Molecule: ribosomal RNA, 486 nt
Filed under: Staphylococcus aureus
Lineage: Bacteria; Bacillati; Bacillota; Bacilli; Caryophanales; Staphylococcaceae
Description: bacterial SSU rRNA
Rfam family: Bacterial small subunit ribosomal RNA
Source: RNAcentral
GGUUGUCGUCAGCUCGUGUCGUGAGAUGUUGGGUUAAGUCCCGCAACGAGCGCAACCCUUAAGCUUAGUUGCCAUCAUUAAGUUGGGCACUCUAAGUUGACUGCCGGUGACAAACCGGAGGAAGGUGGGGAUGACGUCAAAUCAUCAUGCCCCUUAUGAUUUGGGCUACACACGUGCUACAAUGGACAAUACAAAGGGCAGCGAAACCGCGAGGUCAAGCAAAUCCCAUAAAGUUGUUCUCAGUUCGGAUUGUAGUCUGCAACUCGACUACAUGAAGCUGGAAUCGCUAGUAAUCGUAGAUCAGCAUGCUACGGUGAAUACGUUCCCGGGUCUUGUACACACCGCCCGUCACACCACGAGAGUUUGUAACACCCGAAGCCGGUGGAGUAACCUUUUAGGAGCUAGCCGUCGAAGGUGGGACAAAUGAUUGGGGUGAAGUCGUAACAAGGUAGCCGUAUCGGAAGGUGCGGCUGGAUCACCUCCUUU